RNAcentral lists this unclassified non-coding RNA (268 nucleotides) under Hevea brasiliensis (rubber tree). The record is from RNAcentral. Lineage: Eukaryota; Viridiplantae; Streptophyta; Magnoliopsida; Malpighiales; Euphorbiaceae.
CAAGGAUUCCUUGCCUUCCCUUCCAGUACUUCUAUCCUUUUCACCCUCCCUUCCAAACUUAUGGUCAUAUUUUUAACUUGGAUGACGACUACACAAAACUGUCAUUAUAGUAUAUCUGGCACACAGACAUCAGACAGUAAUACUGUAUAUAUGUUUUUAUUGGAAACAGGUAAAAAAAUUUCAUUUUUGCAAGUUACCUAUUUGUGGUACAGGGUGAAGACUUUUUUUUAAGAAGAAACUUAGUGGACAAGCAAGGUUUUAGGAAUUG